Molecule: ribosomal RNA, 256 nt
Filed under: uncultured bacterium
Lineage: Bacteria
Description: partial 16S ribosomal RNA
Rfam family: Bacterial small subunit ribosomal RNA
Source: RNAcentral
UAAUACAGAGGUCUCAAGCGUUGUUCGGAUUCAUUGGGCGUAAAGGGUGCGCAGGCUGUGUGGUAAGUCAGGUGUGAAAUUUAGAGGCUUAACCUCUAAACUGCACUUGAUACUGCCAUGCUAGAGGACUGUAGAGGAGAUUGGAAUUCACGGUGUAGCAGUGAAAUGCGUAGAUAUCGUGAGGAAGACCGGUGGCGAAGGCGAAUCUCUGGGCAGUUCCUGACGCUCAUGCACGAAGGCUAGGGGAGCAAACGGG